This 407-nucleotide ribosomal RNA is filed under the name uncultured bacterium. RNAcentral's name for it is "partial 16S ribosomal RNA". It matches the Rfam family "Bacterial small subunit ribosomal RNA", at positions 355 to 774 of the family's 1533-position model. The record is from RNAcentral.
UGGGGAAUAUUGCACAAUGGGCGCAAGCCUGAUGCAGCAACGCCGCGUGAGGGACGACGGCCUUCGGGUUGUAAACCUCUUUUAGCAGGGAAGAAGCGAAAGUGACGGUACCUGCAGAAAAAGCGCCGGCUAACUACGUGCCAGCAGCCGCGGUAAUACGUAGGGCGCAAGCGUUAUCCGGAAUUAUUGGGCGUAAAGAGCUCGUAGGCGGUUUGUCGCGUCUGCUGUGAAAUCCGGAGGCUCAACCUCCGGCCUGCAGUGGGUACGGGCAGACUAGAGUGCGGUAGGGGAGAUUGGAAUUCCUGGUGUAGCGGUGGAAUGCGCAGAUAUCAGGAGGAACACCGAUGGCGAAGGCAGAUCUCUGGGCCGUAACUGACGCUGAGGAGCGAAAGGGUGGGGAGCAAGCA